UACGAGGGGGGCAAGCGUUGUUCGGAAUUAUUGGGCGUAAAGGGCGCGUAGGCGGUGCGGUAAGUCACCUGUGAAAACUCUGGGCUCAACUCAGAGCCUGCAGGCGAAACUGCCGUGCUUGAGUGUGGGAGAGGUGCGUGGAAUUCCCGGUGUAGCGGUGAAAUGCGUAGAUAUCGGAAGGAACACCAGUGGCGAAGGCGGCUACCUGGACUGAUACUGACACUGAGGCGCGAAAGCGUGGGGAGCAAACAGG
This 253-nucleotide ribosomal RNA is filed under the name uncultured bacterium. Its description in RNAcentral is "partial 16S ribosomal RNA". It matches the Rfam family "Bacterial small subunit ribosomal RNA", at positions 524 to 776 of the family's 1533-position model. The record is from RNAcentral.